GGGUCAGUAGGUUGGUCGUGCCACCGGUACGUACUGGUCUCACUGAUUCCUCCUCCCUGAAGAACCGUAAUGCCAUUAAUUUGGUGUUGCGGGGAAACAGGACUGUUAUUUUGAAAAAAUUAGAGUGUUUAAAGCAAGCUAACGCUUGAAUACAUUAGCAUGGAAUAAUGAAAUAGGACGAUCGAUCCUAUUUUGUUGGUUUCUAGGAUUGACGUA
Molecule: ribosomal RNA, 216 nt
Filed under: Glomeromycotina sp.
Lineage: Eukaryota; Fungi; Glomeromycota
Description: partial small subunit ribosomal RNA
Rfam family: Eukaryotic small subunit ribosomal RNA (bases 87-216)
Source: RNAcentral